Molecule: unclassified non-coding RNA, 336 nt
Filed under: soil metagenome
Description: partial contains 5.8S ribosomal RNA, internal transcribed spacer 2, and large subunit ribosomal RNA
Rfam family: 5.8S ribosomal RNA (bases 1-120)
Source: RNAcentral
GAUGAAGAACGUAGCGAAAUGCGAUAAGUAGUGUGAAUUGCAGAAUUCAGUGAAUCAUCGAAUCUUUGAACGCACAUUGCGCCCUUUGGUAUUCCUUAGGGCAUGCCUGUUCGAGCGUCAUCUAAACCUUCAAGCCCUGCUUGGUGUUGGGUGCCUGUCCCGCCUCCGCGCGUGGACUCACCUCAAAUCCAUUGGCGGCCCCCGCGUCGGCCACGAGCGCAGCAGAAACGCGAACUCGUGAGCCCGUCCGGGCGGCUCCCAGAAGCUAACCCCCAAUUUUUGACCUCGGAUCAGGUAGGGAUACCCGCUGAACUUAAGCAUACAAUAAGCGGAGGA